This 424-nucleotide ribosomal RNA is filed under the name uncultured bacterium. RNAcentral's name for it is "partial 16S ribosomal RNA". It matches the Rfam family "Bacterial small subunit ribosomal RNA", at positions 360 to 776 of the family's 1533-position model. The record is from RNAcentral.
AAUUUUGGACAAUGGGGGAAACCCUGAUCCAGCCAUCCCGCGUGUUUGAUGAAGGCCUUCGGGUUGUAAAGUACUUUUGGCAGAGAAGAAAAGGUAUCUCCUAAUACGAGAUACUGCUGACGGUAUCUGCAGAAUAAGCACCGCAUAAAUACGUCCCAGGAGCCGCGGUAAAACGUAGGGUGCAAGCGUUAAUCGGAAUUACUUGGGGUAAAGCAUGUGUAGGCGGUUCGGAAAGAAAGAUGUGAAAUCCCAGGGCUCAACCUUGGAACUGCAUUUUUAACUGCCGAGCUAGAGUAUGUCAGAGGGGGGUAGAAUUCCACGUGUAGCAGUGAAAUGCGUAGAUAUGUGGAGGAAUACCGAUGGCGAAGGCAGCCCCCUGGGAUAAUACUGACGCUCAGACACGAAAGCGUGGGGAGCAAACAGG